This 868-nucleotide ribosomal RNA is filed under the name Lobaria sp. CM-2020e. RNAcentral's name for it is "partial large subunit ribosomal RNA". It matches the Rfam family "Eukaryotic large subunit ribosomal RNA", at positions 51 to 933 of the family's 3401-position model. The record is from RNAcentral. Lineage: Eukaryota; Fungi; Ascomycota; Lecanoromycetes; Peltigerales; Lobariaceae.
CGGAGGAAAAGAAACCAACAGGGAUUGCCUCAGUAACGGCGAGUGAAGCGGCAACAGCUCAAAUUUGAAAUCUGACCCCUUCGGGGCCCGAGUUGUAAUUUGUAGAGGGUGUUUCGGGCGCGGCGCCGGUCUAAGUUCCUUGGAACAGGACGUCAUAGAGGGUGAGAAUCCCGUAUGUGACCGGCGAUCAAGCCCAUGUGAAGCCCCUUCGACGAGUCGAGUUGUUUGGGAAUGCAGCUCAAAAUGGGUGGUAAAUUCCAUCUAAAGCUAAAUAUUGGCCGGAGACCGAUAGCGGACAAGUAGAGUGAUCGAAAGAUGAAAAGCACUUUGGAAAGAGAGUCAAACAGUACGUGAAAUUGUUGAAAGGGAAGCGCUUGCGACCAGACCGGUCCGGGGGCGAUCAGCCGCUGCUCGUCAGCUGGUGCACUCGCCCCCGAUCCGGCCAGCAUCGGUUUGGGCGGUGGGAGAAAAGCCUCGGGAAUGUAGCUUCUUUCGGGGAGUCUUAUAGCCCGGGGCGCAAUGCCGCCCGCCCGGACCGAGGACCGCGCUUCGGCUAGGAUGCUGGCGUAAUGGUUGCAAGCGACCCGUCUUGAAACACGGACCAAGGAGUCUAACAUCUAUGCGAGUGUUUGGGUGUCAAACCCAGGCGCGGAAUGAAAGUGAACGGAGGUGGGAGCCCGUCGCACGGCGCACCAUCGACCGAUCCAGAUGUCUUCGGAUGGAUUUGAGUAUGAGCAUAGCUGUUGGGACCCGAAAGAUGGUGAACUAUGCCCGGAUAGGGUGAAGCCAGAGGAAACUCUGGUGGAGGCUCGCAGCGGUUCUGACGUGCAAAUCGAUCGUCAAAUCUAGGCAUAGGGGCGAAAGACCA